GGCAGGUUGCCCGAGCGGCCAAUGGGAGCGGACUGUAAAUCCGUCGGCGAAAGCCUACACAAGUUCGAAUCUUGUACCUGCCACCC
Molecule: transfer RNA, 86 nt
Filed under: uncultured Mycobacterium sp.
Lineage: Bacteria; Bacillati; Actinomycetota; Actinomycetes; Mycobacteriales; Mycobacteriaceae
Description: tRNA-Tyr
Rfam family: tRNA
About the family: Transfer RNA (tRNA) molecules are approximately 80 nucleotides in length.
Source: RNAcentral